Molecule: transfer RNA, 73 nt
Filed under: Loxodonta africana (African savanna elephant)
Lineage: Eukaryota; Metazoa; Chordata; Mammalia; Proboscidea; Elephantidae
Rfam family: tRNA
About the family: Transfer RNA (tRNA) molecules are approximately 80 nucleotides in length. Their secondary structure includes four short double-helical elements and three loops (D, anti-codon, and T loops).
Source: Rfam by way of RNAcentral
CCCUUGGUGGCACAAAUAGUUAAGUGCUCAGCUACUAACUGAAAGUUUGGUGGUUCAAAUCCACCCAGAGGUG